Molecule: ribosomal RNA, 200 nt
Filed under: uncultured bacterium
Lineage: Bacteria
Description: partial 16S ribosomal RNA
Rfam family: Bacterial small subunit ribosomal RNA
Source: RNAcentral
UACGGAGGGUGCAAGCGUUAAUCGGAAUUACUGGGCGUAAAGCGCGCGUAGGCGGCUUGGUCAGUUGGAUGUGAAAGCCCUGGGCUUAACCUGGGAACUGCAUUCAAUACUGCCAGGCUAGAGUGUAAGAGAGGAGAGUAGAAUUCCUAGUGUAGCGGUGAAAUGCGUAGAUAUUAGGAGGAAUACCAGUGGCGAAGGCG